RNAcentral lists this ribosomal RNA (373 nucleotides) under uncultured bacterium. RNAcentral's name for it is "bacterial SSU rRNA". It matches the Rfam family "Bacterial small subunit ribosomal RNA", at positions 524 to 896 of the family's 1533-position model. The record is from RNAcentral.
UACGUAGGGUCCAAGCGUUAAUCGGAAUUACUGGGCGUAAAGCGUGCGCAGGCGGCUUUAUAAGCCAGAUGUGAAAUCCCCGGGCUUAACCUGGGAAUGGCAUUUGGGACUGUAAGGCUAGAGUACGGCAGAGGGGACUAGAAUUCCUGGUGUAGCAGUGAAAUGCGUAGAUAUCAGGAGGAAUACCGAUGGCGAAGGCAGGUCCCUGGGUCGAUACUGACGCUCAUGCACGAAAGCGUGGGGAGCAAACAGGAUUAGAUACCCUGGUAGUCCACGCCCUAAACGAUGUCAACUGGUUGUUGGGGAAUUGAUUUCCUUAGUAACGAAGCUAACGCGUGAAGUUGACCGCCUGGGGAGUACGGUCGCAAGAUUA